CCCUGACCAUGUGACCUGACCAGUUAACACUCCGUGUCCUAGUGAAGUGAUGGAUGAUUUGUUGUGUCAAGCUUUUGGGUUCUCAGGUCUCAUGUCUCAGCUGUGAGGCCACUGCACUGAGAACUGGUGUUACGGAGGAUCAGUAUGGACUUGUGAGUGAGGAAGCUAUCCUGUUAAGCAUGCUCAGUGACGCCUGUAACACUGGGCACUCUACUGUGUCUCUACUGUGUCUCUACUGGACUCUACUGGACUACUGGUCUCCACUCUGUCUCCACUGGACUCUACUGGACUCUACUGUGUCUUCACUGUGUCUCUACUGGACUCUACUGCACUAGUGGUCUCCACUCUGUCUCCACUGGACUCUACUGGACUCUACUGUGUCUUCACUGUGUCUCUACUGGACUCUACUGCACUACUGGUCUCCACUCUGUCUCCACUGGACUCUACUGGACUCUACUGUGUCUUCACUGUGUCUCUACUGGACUCUACUGCACUACUGGUCUCCACUCUGUCUCCACUGGACUCUACUGGUCUCUACUGUGCCUCCACUGGACUCUACUGGACUACUGGUCUCCACUCUGUCUCCACUGGACUCUACUGGACUACUGGUCUCCACUCUGUCUCUACUGGUCUCUACUGUGUCUCUACUGGACUCUACUGGUCUCUACUGGUAUCUACUGUGUCUCUACUGGUCUCUACUGGACUCUACUGGACUACUGGUCUCCACUCUGUUUCUACUGGACUCUACUGGUCUCUACUGGACUCUACCGGUCUCUACCGGUCUCUACUGGACUCUACUGGACUCUACUGAUCUCUACGGGACUACUGGUCUCCACUCUGUCUCCACUGGACUCUACUGGACUCUACUGUGUCUCUACUGGACUCUACUGGACUCUACUGUGUCUCGACUAGACUCUACUGGACUCUACUGUGUCUUUACUGGACUCUACUGGACUCUACUGUGUCUCUACUGUGUCUCUACUGGACUCUACUGUGUCUUUACUGGACUCUACUGGUCUCUACUGGACUCUACUGGACUCUACUGUGUCUCUGCUGGACUCUACUGGACUCUAGUGUGUCUCUACUGUGUCUCUACUGUGUCUCUACUGGACUCUACUGGACUCUACUGGUCUCUAUUGGACUCUACUGUGUCUCUACUGUGUCUCUACUGGACUCUACUGUGUCUUUACUGGACUCUACUGGUCUCUACUGGACUCUAGUGUGUCUCUACUGUGUCUCUACUGGACUCUACUGGACUCUACUGUGUCUCUACUGGGCUCUACUGGACUCUACUGGUCUCUAUUGGACUCUACUGUGUCUCUACUGGACUCUACUGGACUCUACUGGAUUCUGAAAACAACAGACACACAACAGACCACUCUGACAACAGACAUAUAAUAGACCAUUCUGACAACAACAGACCACUCUGACAACAACAGACGCACAACUGACCACUCGGACAACAACAGACACACAACAGACCACUCUGACAACAACAGACCACUCUGACAACAACAGACCACUCUGACGACAAAAGACCACUCUGACAACAACAGACCACUCUGACAACAACAGACCACUCUGACGACAAAAGACCACUCUGACGACAAAAGACCACUCUGACAACAACAGACCACUCUGACGACAACAGACCACUCUGACGACAAUAGACCACUCGGACAACAACAGACCACUCUGAAAACAACAGACACACAACAGACCACUCUGACAACAACAGACCACUCUGACAACAACAGACCACUCUGACAACAACAGACCACUCUGACAACAACAGACCACUCUGACGACAAAAGACCACUCUGACAACAACAGACCACUCUGACAACAACAGACCACUCUGACGACAAAAGACCACUCUGACAACAACAGACCACUCUGACAACAACAGACCACUCUGACGACAAAAGACCACUCUGACAACAACAGACACACAACAAACCCUCGCC
RNAcentral lists this long non-coding RNA (1967 nucleotides) under Salmo salar (Atlantic salmon). RNAcentral's name for it is "lncRNA (ENSSSAG00000083600.1)". Lineage: Eukaryota; Metazoa; Chordata; Actinopteri; Salmoniformes; Salmonidae. The record is from RNAcentral.